GCCCUGUGAUGAAAUUAUGGCAGUUCUGUGAUCUGUUAGACCAGGGAUUACGAUACUCUCGCCAUCUGUUUCGAUGGGUAAUCUUGGUAGUGUCAUAGUUAUAUUUCACUGCUGUAAGGGCCCACCUAUAUUGACACUGACUCUGCUUCUACAACUUCUGUCCUCCUCAAGAGCAAUGGGACAGGACGGGUAGGAGAUGUCAAACAAUGUAUGGCUGGUUUUGUUUGUGUGAUGAAUGUUUAUGUAACAGUUGGCAAGAGGACAUAAUCUCUUUUAGAUGGUUUGGCAGGUAUGAGCAUCAAUCUUUGGUAAUCUGAGGGCA
Doryrhamphus excisus (bluestripe pipefish) is the source of this 322-nucleotide small nucleolar RNA. NCBI's taxonomy places the organism in Eukaryota, Metazoa, Chordata, Actinopteri, Syngnathiformes, Syngnathidae. The record is from RefSeq and is a predicted model, not a curated record.